Taeniopygia guttata (zebra finch) is the source of this 711-nucleotide long non-coding RNA. RefSeq lists it as uncharacterized. NCBI's taxonomy places the organism in Eukaryota, Metazoa, Chordata, Aves, Passeriformes, Estrildidae. The record is from RefSeq and is a predicted model, not a curated record.
UACUUCAACCCACAGCAUUCCUACAGCCUGGUAGCUUUCUGAUAACACAGUGUGGGGGUUUGGGUGGAUUUGUUUUUCUCAUGUUUACUUUAAAUCAAGUCAGUCUGUUUUUCACUUCUGCCGCUUGCUGAUGUGUGAGGCAGCAUUUUAGCUCAAAGUGCCCACGACUAACAGCAGGAGCUAUCACUCACAGCAUAAAGAGCCUGGGAUUCUCCACUGCUGCCCCUGUGUCUCCUCUGCCCACAGCCCCACGCAGCUCCAGGUCUCACCCCUUGGGUUGGGCUUCCUAUCCUUUCUUCGAAGCAAUGUGACCACGUAGUAAACUGUUUUUGAGGAGUGUUUGCUGUUUGAGGUUACAAGAUGAAACCACAGAGUUCCUUAUCUUGUCUUUCUGCAUCUGUUUUUACAUGAGCUAGCAGAGCAAAAGAGCAAAGCAGUAACAACCGAAAACUUCUUUUUCCCCUCUCCCCACCCAUAUUUUUGAAGCCACAGGAGAAGUCCCCUGUAGGAUCCAGCUGCUGGCUCUGUUUGGCUUUUUUUUUCUGCAGACCAGGUAGGAACACACUUCCAAAGGGUGGGCAGCAAUGGAAAGCAGGAAAUUGGAAAGCAGUCACCAGCCUGGCAUGGUUCCCCCAGAAACUCGUGUUUGUACCUUAGGAAACAGCUCUGGAAAUAGCAAUAAAAUUUUAUUUGCUACCUUUCCUCCCCAAA